This 462-nucleotide ribosomal RNA is filed under the name uncultured bacterium. RNAcentral describes it as "partial 16S ribosomal RNA". It matches the Rfam family "Bacterial small subunit ribosomal RNA", at positions 29 to 507 of the family's 1533-position model. The record is from RNAcentral.
ACGCACGCUGGCGGCGUGCUUAACACCUGCCAGUCGAACGGAAAGGCCUUUUCGGAGGUACUCGAGUGGCGAACGGGUGAGUAACACGUGGGUGAUCUGCCCUGCACUCUGGGAUAAGCCUGGGAAACUGGGUCUAAUACCGGAUAGGACCGCACUUUAGUGUGUGUGGUGGAAAGUUUUUUCGGUGUAGGAUGAGCCCGCGGCCUAUCAGCUUGUUGGUGGGGUAAUGGCCUACCAAGGCGGCGACGGGUAGCCGGACUGAGAGGUUGGUCGGCCACAUUGGGACUGAGAUACGGCCCAGACUCCUACGGGAGGCAGCAGUGGGGAAUAUUGCACAAUGGGCGCAAGCCUGAUGCAGCGACGCCGCGUGGGGGAUGACGGCCUUCGGGUUGUAAACUCCUUCCGCCAGGGACGAAGCGUUUUGUGACGGUACCUGGAGAAGAAGCACCGGCUAACUACGUG